This is a long non-coding RNA of Magnolia sinica, 526 nucleotides long. RefSeq lists it as uncharacterized. Lineage: Eukaryota; Viridiplantae; Streptophyta; Magnoliopsida; Magnoliales; Magnoliaceae. The transcript has 3 exons. The record is from RefSeq and is a predicted model, not a curated record.
CCCAUGAAAAAUGGGUUGGACCUGGUGAACAGUAUAGUAGAUCAAUGGAUUUGACUGUCUGAUUCAAGUAGGACCACUAUAACUUAUAGUGCUCUGAUAACACUGGAGAAUUUCUCAAGAAAAGGAAUGACACAAUCAUACGUCAUUCUAGCAUUAUCUUUCAGAGAUCCUUCUUGUUCAUCACAUACUUAUUACAUUUCCCUAUAAAUUGAGUAGGUAGUUGCCGGGAGUCUUAGUACUUGAACAUAAAAGGUUGUGCUUUCAUAGCAUACAUCACUCAAAAAACUGCUCUAUUUGAUUACAGAGUGUGAUGGUACUGGUGAACCCAACAUGGAACCACAGUUUUUGGAAGGGGUUGAUGAAGUAGCAAACUGUCCUUACUCUGAAGGCAUGGGCUAUACCAUCUGCUAUGUAUGUGAAGGAUUUUAAUCAAUUGUGCCUGAAUUUAGGCCUACAAGCACUUCAGCUUUUUGAUGGCACUUGUGUUACGAGUAGACCAUAUAGAGGAUUUAUUUUUAUUUAUUUA